GGGUCAGUAGGUUGGUCGUGCCACCGGUACGUACUGGUCUCAUUGAUUCCUCCUUCCUGAAGAACCGUAAUGCCAUUAAUUUGGUGUUGCGGGGAAACAGGACUGUUACUUUGAAAAAAUUAGAGUGUUUAAAGCAAGCUAACGCUUAAAUACAUUAGCAUGGAAUAAUGAAAUAGGACGAUCGAUCCUAUUUUGUUGGUUUCUAGGAUUGACGUA
This 216-nucleotide ribosomal RNA is filed under the name Glomeromycotina sp. Its description in RNAcentral is "partial small subunit ribosomal RNA". The stretch from base 40 to 216 matches the Rfam family "Eukaryotic small subunit ribosomal RNA", at positions 686 to 864 of the family's 1831-position model. Lineage: Eukaryota; Fungi; Glomeromycota. The record is from RNAcentral.